GCAAACUUGGUCAUUUAGAGGAAGUAAAAGUCGUAACAAGGUUUCCGUAGGUGAACCUGCGGAAGGAUCAUUACUGAGUGCGGACCUAACCGGUCCAACCUCCCACCCGUGUCUCUAAAUACCCUGUUGCUUUGGCGGGCCCACCGAUUCGUCGGUCGCCGGGGGACCCUGUGUCCUCGGGCCCGUGCCCGCCAGAGCGCUUGAAGAACCCUUAUGAAGAUAGACUGUCUGAGUGUAUUUGAUAAUAAUCAAAACUUUCAACAAUGGAUCUCUUGGUUCCGGCAUCGAUGAAGAACGCAGC
Molecule: unclassified non-coding RNA, 301 nt
Filed under: uncultured fungus
Lineage: Eukaryota; Fungi
Description: partial contains small subunit ribosomal RNA, internal transcribed spacer 1, and 5.8S ribosomal RNA
Rfam family: Eukaryotic small subunit ribosomal RNA (bases 1-73)
Source: RNAcentral